This 86-nucleotide small RNA is filed under the name Azomonas macrocytogenes. Its description in RNAcentral is "t44 RNA". It matches the Rfam family "t44 RNA". Rfam says of the family: This family consists of a number of bacterial RNA genes of between 135 and 170 bases in length. The t44 gene is found between the map and rpsB genes in all species in the full alignment apart from Shigella flexneri. The function of this RNA is unknown. Lineage: Bacteria; Pseudomonadati; Pseudomonadota; Gammaproteobacteria; Pseudomonadales; Pseudomonadaceae. The record is from RNAcentral.
CUCGUCAAGCCUGAAUCCACACACGUAUCGGCACGUUAUUCUGGGUGCCCGCAAGGGUUGAAUAGCGGGAUGCGUGGAGGCCUAAC